GAGUUUGAUCUUGGCUCAGGAUGAACGCUGGCGGCGUGCCUAAUACAUGCAAGUCGAACGCGAGCACUUGUGCUCGAGUGGCGAACGGGGUGAGUAAUACAUAAGUAACCUGCCCUAGACAGGGGGAUAACUAUUGGAAACGAUAGCUAAGACCGCAUAGGUACGGACACUGCAUGGUGACCGUAUUAAAAGUGCCUCAAAGCACUGGUAGAGGAUGGACUUAUGGCGCAUUAGCUGGUUGGCGGGGUAACGGCCCACCAAGGCGACGAUGCGUAGCCGACCUGAGAGGGUGACCGGCCACACUGGGACUGAGACACGGCCCAGACUCCUACGGGAGGCAGCAGUAGGGAAUUUUCGGCAAUGGGGGAACCCUGACCGAGCAACGCCGCGUGAAGGAAGAAGGUUUUCGGAUUGUAAACUUCUGUUAUAAAGGAAGAACGGCGGCUACAGGAAAUGGUAGCCGAGUGACGGUACUUUAUUAGAAGCACGCUAACUACGUGCCAGCCGCCGCGGU
This 514-nucleotide ribosomal RNA is filed under the name bacterium enrichment culture clone ALO1_GLFRUDD03HB3II. RNAcentral describes it as "bacterial SSU rRNA". It matches the Rfam family "Bacterial small subunit ribosomal RNA", at positions 9 to 521 of the family's 1533-position model. The record is from RNAcentral.